Molecule: ribosomal RNA, 220 nt
Filed under: uncultured bacterium
Lineage: Bacteria
Description: partial 16S ribosomal RNA
Rfam family: Bacterial small subunit ribosomal RNA
Source: RNAcentral
CGGGGUGAGUAACGCGUAGGUAUCUAUCCUUGGGUGGGGGGACAACUGUGGGAAACUACAGCUAAUACCGCAUGACGACCGAGGUCCAAAGCUUGUGAGAGCGCCUGAGGAGGAGCCUGCGUACGAUUAGCUAGUUGGUGGGGUAAAGGCCUACCAAGGCUGUGAUCGUUAGCUGGUCUGAGAGGAUGAUCAGCCACAUUGGGACUGAGACACGGCCCAA